GACGAACGCUGGCGGCGUGCUUAACACAUGCAAGUCGAACGGUAAGGCCCUGCUUUUGUGGGGUGCUCGAGUGGCGAACGGGUGAGUAACACGUGAGUAACCUGCCCUUGACUUUGGGAUAACUUCAGGAAACUGGGGCUAAUACCGGAUAUGAGCUCCUGCUGCAUGGUGGGGGUUGGAAAGUUUCGGCGGUUGGGGAUUGACUCGCGGCUUAUCAGCUUGUUGGUGGGGUAGUGGCUUACCAAGGCUUUGACGGGUAGCCGGCCUGUGAGGGUGAACGGCGACAUUGGGACUGAGAUAGGGCGCAGACGACAACGGGAGGCAGCAGUGGGGAAUAGUGAACAAGGGGAGGAAGCAUGAUGAAGAAACGCAGCGUGCGGGAUGACGGCCGUCGGGGUGUAAACAGAUUUAGAAUGAGACGAAGAGUGAGUGACGGUAAUGGGUAAAGAAGCACCGGCUAACUACGUG
RNAcentral lists this ribosomal RNA (468 nucleotides) under uncultured bacterium. RNAcentral's name for it is "partial 16S ribosomal RNA". It matches the Rfam family "Bacterial small subunit ribosomal RNA", at positions 28 to 507 of the family's 1533-position model. The record is from RNAcentral.